CCGCCGGGAUGUCUGGCCAGAAUUCAGCCCUUGGGGAGCGACCGCCGGAAUGUCUGGUUGAAGUUCAGCCGGAAUUCUGAGAGGCGGCCGGGACGUCCGGCCGGAAUUCCGAGUGACCGCCGGACGUCCGGCCGGAGUUCAGCCGGAAUUCUGAGUGACCACCGGAGUCCGGCCGGAGUUCGGCCGCUGCCGGGGACGUUUGCCCAGACUUUGGCCAGGCCGGACGGACGCCCCCGGGAGGGGCUGGAGGGGGGAGGGGAUCGGCCGAGGUGGCCUGAGGGUCAUUCCUGGUGGUCCAGGGGUCAUUCCUGGUGGUCCAAGGUAGUCCAAGGGUCAUUCCAGGUGGUUCAGAGUGGCCUGAGGGUCAUCCAAGGUGGCCCAAAGAGAUCCAAGGUGGCCCAAGGUCCAUCCAAGGUGGCCCAAAUUCCAUCCAAGGUGGCCCAAAUUCCAUCCGAGGUUGCCCAACGUCCACCCAAGGCCACCGCGGCUCCUCAGACCCCCAAGACCCCAAAUCCCCAAAAUUCCCCAAAAUCCCCAAAUUCCCAAAAAUCCCCAAAAUCCCCAAAAAUCCCAAAAAAUCCCCAAAAAUCCCCCAAAAUCCCCGAAUCCGCCCCGGGGGCGGUGGGGGGGGGGGGCGGGGGGGCGGCCCCCCCCCCCCCCCCCCCCCCCCCCCCCCCCCCAAAUUUGGGCUCUUCCCACCAAAAAAAAAUCGGGAAUUUUGGAAAUUUUGAGGAAAUUUGGGGGAUUUUUGGGGAAUUUUGGGAAUUUGGGGAUCUCCAUGGUACCACCGGGACCUCCCGGGUCUCUUCGCACUUUAAGACAUCCCCGAGGCCCCACCCAGGGCACAAAAAUCCCCAAAAAAUUCAAAAUCAAAAAAGGCUCCAAAUCCCAAAAUUCCCAAUUUUGGGCAUUUUGGGGGAUUAAAAUAAAAAAGAGGGAAAAAAAAAAUGGGAAAAACA
Molecule: long non-coding RNA, 959 nt
Filed under: Chloebia gouldiae (Gouldian finch)
Lineage: Eukaryota; Metazoa; Chordata; Aves; Passeriformes; Passeridae
Description: Erythrura gouldiae (Gouldian finch) lncRNA (ENSEGOG00005017269.1)
Source: RNAcentral